Molecule: ribosomal RNA, 460 nt
Filed under: uncultured bacterium
Lineage: Bacteria
Description: partial 16S ribosomal RNA
Rfam family: Bacterial small subunit ribosomal RNA
Source: RNAcentral
CCUACGGGUGGCAGCAGUGAGGAAUAUUGGUCAAUGGGCGCGAGCCUGAACCAGCCAAGUAGCGUGAAGGAUGACUGCCCUACGGGUUGUAAACUUCUUUUAUAAAGGAAUAAAGUGAGGCACGUGUGCCUUUUUGUAUGUACUUUAUGAAUAAGGAUCGGCUAACUCCGUGCCAGCAGCCGCGGUAAUACGGAGGAUCCGAGCGUUAUCCGGAUUUAUUGGGUUUAAAGGGAGCGUAGAUGGGUUGUUAAGUCAGUUGUGAAAGUUUGCGGCUCAACCGUAAAACUGCAAUUGAUACUGGCAGCCUUGAGUGCAGUUGAGGUAGGCGGAAUUCGUGGUGUAGCGGUGAAAUGCUUAGAUAUCAGGAGGAACUCCAGUGGCGAAGGCAGCUUACUAGACUGCCACUGACAUUGAGGCUCGAAAGUGUGGGUAUCAAACAGGAUUAGAUACCCGUGUAGUC